UGGGAUAUAGCUCAGUUGGUUAGAGCGCUACCUUGACAUGGUAGAGGUCAGCGGUUCGAAUCCGCUUAUCCCAACCA
RNAcentral lists this transfer RNA (77 nucleotides) under Pseudobdellovibrionaceae bacterium. RNAcentral describes it as "Bdellovibrionaceae bacterium tRNA-Val". It matches the Rfam family "tRNA". From Rfam's summary of the family: Transfer RNA (tRNA) molecules are approximately 80 nucleotides in length. Their secondary structure includes four short double-helical elements and three loops (D, anti-codon, and T loops). Lineage: Bacteria; Pseudomonadati; Bdellovibrionota; Bdellovibrionia; Bdellovibrionales; Pseudobdellovibrionaceae. RNAcentral also lists the same sequence under 1 other name. The record is from RNAcentral.